GACCAGAAUACUCACCACUAAACUAUCGCGCCCCAUGGUUGCUAACAAUUAUAAAGACCGGCUGGGAGCUGCAGUCCAUUAGCCCCCUGCUCUGAUCUUCUCCUCUGCCCCUCUGCUUCCUGCGGAGCGCCUGUGCGGGGUACUUACAGGCCAGCGGCUUGGCGGUCUAGGGGGCGGAGGCGCCUAUUGGUCUAUGCUGGUUUCCACGCUUCCCGGCCGCCUGUAAGUAGAGAGGGCAGCAGAGGUGGCUAGUGCUGAGCCUGAGAUUUCUCGAGUUAGCUGAAUGAUGAGGGCCGCUGCUGAGAAGGCCGUGGGCCCACCUUACUCUUGUAGAUGUUGUUUUUCCCCAGGGUACGUGAUAGACUAGACCUCCAUCACGGUCCUCACAGCUGAGGCUGGAGCAUCUCCGGAGUGGGUAAACCCCAUGGGGUCUUUUCAAAAAGCUGGGAGCAAAGCAGCGUCCAUAGAAGUAAAACUUCGGAGACCAAAACCAUCAUCACCAGUCCUCGGAUUCCUUACCACACGGCUUUGUUUCUGUGAUUUAUUUUGCUUUUUCCAUAUUCUGUGUACAUUAAUUUGGUUCUGGAAUUUUCUGACUGAGAAUUAUGCUGCUUUACGAAUUUCUUUAGCCAGUGAUGUGUUUCUGAGAGGUAGAAUAGCUACCCUAUAAUAGUGCCUCUGUGUUUUAUUAAUACCCUUUUUGUUUUCUCUUCUUUGGGGACUUAUUGUCUGUAGCUUUUACUAUUUUAGGGUUCAAUUCAAUUUUAUUACUUUAGGGUUUGCGACAUAUGUCUUUGUCCCAUAUAACACUGGGACAGUCAGGUGGAGAAAGCCAUUAACAGAGAGGCAAGUCGAUUUGUGUGGAGUUUGAGUCCAGCCUGGUCUAUAUAGUUAGUUUCAGGUGAUAAUCUUCCGUUUCUGGCGUCUACGCUACUGUUAAGUAUUUUGCUCCUUCCCUUGGUGUGGAUCCCACACUACAGGUUAUUACUUUUGUCUAAAGGUUCAAAUAUUUCUAAAAGGCAUGUCAAUAUCAACAUGUGAUAUCCUCACCAUAUCUGGUAUUCUUCCCAAUGUGCCUGCUGGACUCCCUCUUACAUUUGUGUGUGGGGUGGUAUCCGGUGGUUAGGAUUUUGUUUGGAAGUGGAUUUUCUGCAGCUCUGGCUGUCCUGGAACUCCCUAUGUAAACCAGAUUGGCCUAGAACUCCUAGAGAUCUGCUUCCCAGAUGCAAGAAAUCAAUGAGUGGGCCACUGCUCCUGGCUGGUUAUGAUUCUCAAGGUAUUUAUAGGUCAGGUCUUGAUGUACUCUUGUUUUACUGUUUUGUUGUUGUUGUUGUUGUUGCUGCUGCUGCUUCUGCAUGUAUGUGUUAAAAAAUGCCUUUGCAGUCCAGGCUGCUAGGGUGUGAUGGCUACUCUUAGUUGUCAACUUGAUUACAUCUGGAAUUUGCUAAAACCCAAAUGGCCGGGCACACGUGUGAGAUUUUUUUUUCUUAGUUAAAUCAUUUGAAGUAGGAAGACCCACUUGGAAUCUGGACCUCUGAGGUGGGAAGAUCCACUUUUAAGCCAGAUCUUCUGAGGUGGGAAGUGCAUCUCUAAUCUGGGCCACACCUUCUGCUGGCAAGCUAUUUAAGGGCCAUGGAAGAAGGGUGCUUGCUUUCUCUGCAUGCUUGCUCUCACUCUUGAGAACAAGUCUACUCCUUCACUGGCAUUAAAGACGACUCUUUCAGAUGCUGGCAUCCACUGCAGACCAGCUGAGAUGUGCAGCCGUGUGGACUGAACAACAACUGAUUUCCGGACCUUCUAUUGGUAGACAGACAGCCGGUGUUGGACUAGCAGGACCACAGCCUGUAAAUGAGGGAGGUAGGGAAGGGAACUGCUCGAAGAGGUAAGAAUGAAAACCCGGGGCAGAGUAACUUAAUCUCCUUGGAUCAGACUUCAGGAGUCUAAUACAGGGGGGUUCAUUGUCAGUAGAUUUAAAACACAGCACAAUUUGGGAAGAGGUUUUGAGGCAGCAACCAGUCCUAUCAGUCCGAAUCCAGGUGCACAGUAAAGCUUAAGGUGUGCCCACGCAGAGAUUCCUUUACAACGUACACGUGGCCAUGAGGGUGGGCUUUAUAGCUAAAAGGCCUAGAAUCUAAUGUGUUCUCUGAGCAGUAGCACAGAGGUCGGCAGGCCAGAAAGUGCAUGUCACAUCUCCCCUACAGAUGGGUAAUGGUCUAGGGAGGCCCGAGUCUGGAAUAAUCAUUCUGGGAGUUAGGGUGAGGUCUGUCCCUACAGAUAGCAGAAAAGGUCACCAGGUGGUUAAUAGCCUCUACUCUCAGCUUUCUGGAUGGAAUGCAGAUUUUUAUUUUAUCUCCUCCAUUGAGGACACACCUGUGAAAGAUUAACAUUCCUGCUUCUCUUAGGGAUUCUCUGAGUACAAGAUCCUCAUGCCCUCUCCAUGUAAAACCGUUAUAAUAUAUAUAAAAAUAUAUAUUCUAUAUAUUCAUAUUCAUUCUCUAGGUUGUGUGCUUAAUACAGUGGGGCAUGGCCUUGAACUUUUGACGCUCCUGGUUUAGCCUCCCCUGUGUUGAGAUUACGUGCAUGGGCCAUGAAGCCCAGUUCAGUUAACUUUAAGAGGAUUUGUAUGGCACAGAAUUUGCAGUUAACGUUUAGUUUUCUUGUUUCAUCACUUUAAAGAUUCGGUGUGGCUAUCUCCUGGCUUGCAUGGCUUCUGGUAGAAUCCUGGAACUGCAGAAAAACCUUCACACCAUCCUCCUUUUUGUUCCUGUGUAUAUACACUGUGUUUUUCUUGGGCAACUUUUGAAAUGUUUCUCUUGGCCUAGGAUUUAAUUAAAAUGUGUCUGAGCUAAUUUG
This 2853-nucleotide long non-coding RNA is filed under the name Mus musculus (house mouse). Its description in RNAcentral is "long non-coding RNA chr3:96464071-96466924". Lineage: Eukaryota; Metazoa; Chordata; Mammalia; Rodentia; Muridae. The record is from RNAcentral.